This 254-nucleotide ribosomal RNA is filed under the name uncultured bacterium. RNAcentral describes it as "partial 16S ribosomal RNA". It matches the Rfam family "Bacterial small subunit ribosomal RNA", at positions 524 to 776 of the family's 1533-position model. RNAcentral also lists the same sequence under 1 other name. The record is from RNAcentral.
UACGUAGGGGGCAAGCGUUGUCCGGAUUUAUUGGGCGUAAAGAGCUCGUAGGCGGCUCGGUAAGUCGGAUGUGAAACCUCCAGGCUCAACCUGGAGACGCCAUCUGAUACUGCCGUGGCUUGAGUCCGGUAGAGGAGCAGGGAAUUCCUGGUGUAGCGGUGAAAUGCGCAGAUAUCAGGAGGAACACCAGCGGCGAAGGCGCUGCUCUGGGCCGGUACUGACGCUGAGGAGCGAAAGCGUGGGGAGCGAACAGG